Molecule: ribosomal RNA, 368 nt
Filed under: uncultured organism
Description: bacterial SSU rRNA
Rfam family: Bacterial small subunit ribosomal RNA
Source: RNAcentral
CGUAGGUGGCAAGCGUUGUCCGGAUUUAUUGGGUUUAAAGGGUGCGUAGGCGGCUUUGUAAGUCAGUGGUGAAAUACUCCAGCUCAACUGGAGAGGUGCCAUUGAUACUGUAGAGCUAGAGUACUGAUGAGGUAGGCGGAAUGGACGGUGUAGCGGUGAAAUGCUUAGAUAUCGUCCAGAACACCGAUAGCGAAGGCAGCUUACUAAAGAGUAACUGACGCUGAGGCACGAAAGUGUGGGGAUCAAACAGGAUUAGAUACCCUGGUAGUCCACACUGUAAACGUUGAUCACUAGAUGUUGGCGAUACACUGCCAGCGUUCCAGCAAAAGCGAUAAGUGAUCCACCUGGGGAGUACGCCCGCAAGGGUG